CUUUUAAACAUCUAUGGUAAUAUUUUUAAUUGUAAAGCAAAUAUAUGUUGCAUUGUUGGGAUCUUUUCUUUAAAUAUGAAGUGUUUACCUAUGUGUGACCAAUACCUUUGCUCUACUUAAAAACUUUUUGGCUUCUGUGCAUGUAAAUUGCAACAUUAGUGACACAUGCCUAGUCUGCCUAGGUUGGUACUCAUAUGUAGAAUACUAUUUCGUGGGACUUUCAUAUAAACAGAGAGCAAGUGAGCAAUUCUAAAAAAAACAGAUUAAAUUCUUAAUGGGGUGUCAGUAGGCAAUAAAGUCUAGAAAUAAAUAAAUACAAUAAAAACUCUUCAUGUUCCAAUUUCUUAGCAUGCAAAUGCUCCCUUUAUUUGACUAAAACAAUUCAGCCUUACUUGUCAACAGAUUCAACAUCUAUUUUGGUUGUCAGAUGUUGUAUUCAGGUCAGCUCAUGCAAUAAACAAUUUAUUACUCAAUAAAACCUUGAGUAAACCUGAGAAUAAAUCUAAAAAUAACCACAGUGUUGCACCUAAUAUAGAUUCAAUACACAGAGUCACUAUAUAUAAGGACUUGCAUGGCUUUUUUCACCUGUGACAUGAUGGCAUUGGGUGUCCUAAGGUCACUUGAUAUUCUGCCCCUGAAUUCUCGUGAAUAAUCAUUGUAGUGGUAACACAAACUGCUAAUUCCAUGGCUCGCAUUGAUAAAGCAUGAGGUAAUGAGAACUGCGCUUUGGCGGUUGAAAGAUCCCCCUACCUGCCCCCCAAACGGUCUAAAUUCUGCUUAGGAUUGUCAAGACUGUGUUAGGGAUCUCAUGCAAGGGUCAAAGGUCUAUUUGCUCGGUGGGUGUCAUCUAAACAGCCCAUGCCCACUUCGGCCCAUAACAGUACAGCAAGGGACCACGAUGGGGUCAACCAUCUAACACGUGGGCCUAGUCGGGCCAUAAAUCUUGUGAAUCUGGUAUGUAAACAACUCUAAUUGCUUGCCACCUGUGAAGUUUGUUUUACAGAAUGCCAGAGAAUGAAACAGUAUGCUCAUCAACAGGUGCCAAGGAACAUCUCCAGAAUAAGCGGCCGGUGGGUUGCAUAUUCACUCAUGUCAUCAGACUGCCUGUUCCCUGUCGUCAUACCCCAUUUUUUCUCCGGUCAGAAGCCAUAGGCAUGCUCAUACCUUGGAGAGAAACCCUAACCACACCAUGAGGAAAGAUCUAUGGGUCAGACCUGUUUAGUGUCCAUAAAACUAGGACAGGACCCUCCGCCUCCCCGGGUGCCCCUUUGGACACCUGUGACUGGAACAGGUUCUUUGGCUCACCACCUGAUGAAGGAAUUCAAGUUGGUGAGGGGUGAAUUAUUGGUCGUGUAGAGGUUUUGUCACGCGCAUGCUUCAUCGUGGGAAAGGAUGACAUCAUCACCUAUAGCCUAAUGAAAGCGGCUCAUCAAUGGGCAGAGUGCUAUAAAAGCAACUCAGAGACACCAACUCUUAUGUGAACUGAUUUACCAACACCUGCAAGUGCAAUACCUCUCCCGUUAUUCAAUAUCA
Molecule: long non-coding RNA, 1533 nt
Organism: Triplophysa rosa
Lineage: Eukaryota; Metazoa; Chordata; Actinopteri; Cypriniformes; Nemacheilidae
Exons: 4
Source: RefSeq, a predicted model, not a curated record